UGAGGAAUAUUGGGUCAAUGGGGCGAGAGCCUGAACCAGCCAAGUAGCGUGCAGGAUGACGGCCCUAUGGGUUGUAAACUGCUUUUAUAAGGGAAUAAAGUGGGGCUCGUGAGCUCUUUUGCAUGUACCUUAUGAAUAAGGACCGGCUAAUUCCGUGCCAGCAGCCGCGGUAAUACGGAAGGUCCGGGCGUUAUCCGGAUUUAUUGGGUUUAAAGGGAGCGUAGGCCGCAGGUUAAGCGUGUUGUGAAAUGUAGGGGCUCAACCUCUGCACUGCAGCGCGAACUGGCUUACUUGAGUACGCACAACGUGGGCGGAAUUCGUGGUGUAGCGGUGAAAUGCUUAGAUAUCACGAAGAACUCCGAUCGCGAAGGCAGCUUGCCAAGCCAUAACUGACACUGAAGCACGAAAGUGUGGGUAU
This 418-nucleotide ribosomal RNA is filed under the name uncultured Prevotella sp. RNAcentral's name for it is "bacterial SSU rRNA". It matches the Rfam family "Bacterial small subunit ribosomal RNA", at positions 355 to 768 of the family's 1533-position model. Lineage: Bacteria; Pseudomonadati; Bacteroidota; Bacteroidia; Bacteroidales; Prevotellaceae. The record is from RNAcentral.